Molecule: non-coding RNA, 93 nt
Organism: Pseudonaja textilis
Lineage: Eukaryota; Metazoa; Chordata; Lepidosauria; Squamata; Elapidae
Source: RefSeq, a predicted model, not a curated record
GGUAACUUCUGGAGCCAGUUCCCAGCCUGCGCACACACAGAGCUGCCAAAAGGAAGGCACAGUUAAGAGCUCAGGGUCGACGUGGGAGUGGAC